RNAcentral lists this small RNA (90 nucleotides) under Pan troglodytes (chimpanzee). RNAcentral describes it as "processed pseudogene". The record is from RNAcentral. Lineage: Eukaryota; Metazoa; Chordata; Mammalia; Primates; Hominidae.
AUGGCCCUCCACAGCCCGCAGUAUAUUUUUGGAGAUUUUAGUCCUGAUGAAUUCAAUCAGUUCUUUGUGACUCCUCGAUCUUCAAUUGAG